This 207-nucleotide microRNA precursor is filed under the name Oryza brachyantha (malo sina). RNAcentral describes it as "MIR812 microRNA precursor family". It matches the Rfam family "MIR812 microRNA precursor family". The record is from Rfam by way of RNAcentral. Lineage: Eukaryota; Viridiplantae; Streptophyta; Magnoliopsida; Poales; Poaceae.
AAUAAGGUUAUUUUUCAGUUUUUAGAUACAAUGUUUUGACUCUGUCUUAUUUGAACUUUUUUAUGAUUAAUAUUUUUAUUGUUAUUAGAUGAUAAAAUAUGAAUAGGACUUUAUGCGUGACUAAUUUUUUUAAAAGUUUUUGUGAAAUUUUUCAAAUAAGAUGAAUGGUCAAAGCAUUGGACACAAAAAUCAAAAAAUAACGCUAUU